GUAUGUGAGCAUGAUCUGGCUAUGACACCUGUCACCCCAUUGACCGCCAGGGUUGAUUCUCCGCUGAUCUGGCUGGCUAGGGGGGUGUCCCCUUCCUCCCUGACUGCUCCAAUAUGCGUCCCUCCUGAAACUAUGCGCUCGGUUGAAGAGGACGGCCUUCCCAUAAUAGAGAGGGACCGGUCUUGGGUUGAGGGUAUACAAGUAUCUGCGCUCCCCCUGCUAGAACCUCCAAACAAGCUCUCUAGUAGGUAGCUGGGAAAUGUGGAAACCUCCCUCUUUGGCAUUAAGACAUGCAAAACAGA
RNAcentral lists this small nuclear RNA (302 nucleotides) under Sorex araneus (European shrew). RNAcentral's name for it is "7SK RNA (ENSSARG00000018104.1)". It matches the Rfam family "7SK RNA". From Rfam's summary of the family: 7SK was discovered as an abundant small nuclear RNA in the mid-70s but a possible function has only recently been suggested. Two independent studies have found that 7SK RNA binds the CDK9/cyclin T complex (known as elongation factor P-TEFb). Lineage: Eukaryota; Metazoa; Chordata; Mammalia; Eulipotyphla; Soricidae. The record is from RNAcentral.